RNAcentral lists this ribosomal RNA (250 nucleotides) under uncultured bacterium. Its description in RNAcentral is "partial 16S ribosomal RNA". It matches the Rfam family "Bacterial small subunit ribosomal RNA", at positions 524 to 773 of the family's 1533-position model. The record is from RNAcentral.
UACAGAGGGUGCAAGCGUUAAUCGGAAUUACUGGGCGUAAAGCGUGCGUAGGCGGUUGAAUAAGUUAGACGUGAAAACCCUGGGCUCAACCUGGGGGUGUCGUCUGAUACUGUUUGACUAGAGAACGGGAGAGGAGAGUGGAAUUUCCGGUGUAGCGGUGAAAUGCGUAGAUAUCGGAAGGAACACCCGUGGCGAAGGCGACUCUCUGGCCUGAUUUUGACGCUGAGGCACGAAAGCGUGGGGAGCAAAC